This 64-nucleotide transfer RNA is filed under the name Pseudogriphoneura sp. ACMJ-2016. RNAcentral's name for it is "tRNA-Asn". The record is from RNAcentral. Lineage: Eukaryota; Metazoa; Arthropoda; Insecta; Diptera; Lauxaniidae.
UUAAUUGAAGCCAAAAAGAGGCUUAUCACUGUUAAUGAUAAAAUUGAAUAAUACUCCAAUUAAA